CCCCUUUUCUCAGGCGGUCGAAACGCCUAUAUGAGCCUUGCCGGGGCAACCCGGCUAUGGCGAUAAACGGUCGGUGUAAUAAACCUAUUGGACCCGGGGGCGGUACCCGGCGCCUCCACCAAAAACCGGCGGACUUUCAUGAAAAGAAGGCCGGCUUUUGAUGGGGGCGAAACAGGAUCGACAAGGGCGUAAAGAUCGAACUUUUGCUCGGCAUGAUACCGCCGUUAUCGGGUCACAAGUGUAGUUGCAAACGACAACAACGCUAAGGAAUAUGCUCUCGCUGCCUAAUGGCGGUGCGGGAAUUCCGCUCUAAAGUCCUCACGGUUAGCCCCGUGAGGCGGGGUUCGGAGGUACCUGGCAACAGAAACCUCCACC
Molecule: transfer-messenger RNA, 375 nt
Filed under: Agrobacterium tumefaciens
Lineage: Bacteria; Pseudomonadati; Pseudomonadota; Alphaproteobacteria; Hyphomicrobiales; Rhizobiaceae
Rfam family: Alphaproteobacteria transfer-messenger RNA
About the family: Bacterial tmRNA, also known as 10Sa RNA or SsrA, is named for its dual tRNA and mRNA-like properties. Its role is to liberate the mRNA from a stalled ribosome.
Source: RNAcentral